Lytechinus variegatus (green sea urchin) is the source of this 3444-nucleotide long non-coding RNA. RefSeq lists it as uncharacterized. The record is from RefSeq and is a predicted model, not a curated record. The transcript has 2 exons. Lineage: Eukaryota; Metazoa; Echinodermata; Echinoidea; Temnopleuroida; Toxopneustidae.
AACGGGUCCCUGAACACAAGUUUAACCACAAAAAUUCAGUUGAAAAUUGUAUUUAUUCAAGAAUAACUCUGGGAAACGAUAACAAAUUAUAUGUAUGCACAUUACAUGUGAUUACUUCUCUACACGUCAACAAAAUCCCUGUUAACAAUGAUAAAAUAUGAGUUGAUAUCCCGCAAAAUUAAGACCUACAUAAUGCUGUAUCUAUAAAUAUUGCGCUACUUUGCAGAUUUGCACUGAAAUAUGUUUGCGAUGGGAUAUUCUAAAUGCAAGCACAAGUACUCUCCAAGAUUUUUUUCAAUGUUCUGUUCAUUUUUAUACAACCACUACAAUAAUACAAACACAUUUAAGCAUGAAGUAAUACAUGUAUUCUUAUUAAAUGGAAAUCCAUUCCAAAUAAAAAGUUGUUUUUAGAAGAAAAAUCAGACAAGUUGAUCGGUGAAAGUUUGAACCAAAUCGGACAAACAAUAAUAAAGUUAUAAACUUUAAAAAGAUGUAUAAAUUGGAAAUCACAACACCAAUGGAGACUUCAAAUUGGCCGCAUUUGUCAUGUCAUGAUGUAAGGCAAGGACUAAUCUUCCAUGUACUCUGAUACAAAUAAUGGCUAGAAUGUCAUUAAAAAAAAAAUCAAAUUGUAUUUUUCUUUCAUGAGGAUAUAAAACAAUAUACUUCCUGUGUUAUAUUCUUAUCAUGGCCCCAGGAGAAUAAGUACAUGUACUUGGAAGGAAACCACGAAUCCCUGACAAUUAAGUACAUGGCCUAUGGGAAAGUUGACUUUGCCCCUUGUCAUAAUUUACUUAUCCAGUUGCCAAUUUGAAAUUUGCAUAGCCUUGGGGAUCUCAAUUCUAAAACAGCAAUAACUUUCUUAUUUCUUGUGCGAUUUCUAUCAAACUUUCACCAUUUUGUUUUACUUAUUUUUCUCAUUUCCCACACAACAUAUUAUGACCAAGGUUGAAUUCCCCUUCAAAGGAUUUUCUCCCCCCCCCCCCCUCUCUUUCUCCCUUUCCGUUCGUCUCUACACAUGACAUGAAUGCCACGCUGAUUUGAAGGGUAAAGACUAGCUCAUAUUGACAAUGGUUCUCAAGUAUCUCCCCAAUCUAUAUGUGAAGUAUACUACACACUACUCAGCUAAUCUGGUAUCAUCUAAACAUGAACAAUGUUACAGGAUUCCUGAGAUGCCACAAGUUAUCUGUACAAAAGAAACCCCAACAUUUGAAUAAUUGAGACAGACCUUGAAGUCACCAACUUCCUCAUGCCUACCAAUGCUAACAAGAUGAGCUAUUGGCCCUCAAUCACAAGUAAGGUUUGGUAAGAUGUUAUAAACAUCGUGGGUGUUGAUUUGUUUUGGAAAUCUAUUGUUCAAGGGGGGGAUGAUCUAUUGUUUCAUUCCCCCCCCCCCACACACACACACUUGAAUAGUAUGACGUCACGGGUCGCCUUAAGUGAUUAACAUCAAAAUAUGCGCAGACUCUAGAUUUUACAAACAUAAAAGUGCCUAAAAUGCCCAUCUGAUCUGCUACUGUUCCAUAGAGCAUGUCUAGUCUUAUCUGCAGGAGUCACUGUGCUGGUCUUCCCCUAACCUCAACCCCUCCAGAAAGUGGUAGAGUGAUGCAUAAGUAAACUGGAAGAUGUUUCCAUUCAAUCAUCAUUAGUUUUAGAAAAUAUUACAAGUUUUCAAUGAAUGUCUCUGAAAAGAGUAAUGAUUAUUUAAAGAAUACUGGCUUAUGCCCGGUUGACACUUGCACGCAUUGUGGUGCCCGCAUUGAUGCGUGCCAAUGCGGGACACUUUAUGGCACGACUUGGCUAUAUCAGUUCACGCAAUGUCCCGACACGUUCACAACAUGUUUGCACAUUGUUUGCGCACAGUUCGCGCAUAGUUCACCCAGUGUUCGCGCAUAGUUCACGCAGUGUUCACGCACUGUCCCGACAUGCUUUCAGCAAAUAUUCUCGACACCCUAUUCUGUGACGUAUCUAGCGCAAAUUUAAAUAUUCAACGUUCUUGUGUUGACACCCUCUACGUUCGUUGAUUAGGACGACUCAUACUGAUCACGUGGUCUGCACUCAGAAUUUUGCGCAUAUCAUUCGUGAACUAUGCGUGAAGUAUGCUUGACCUAUGCGCAAAGUAUGCGCGACCCUGUCGUGAACUAGUCGUGAACUGCGUGCCGCUACCCCUGGGGUGUGCUUACUAUUCUUUGCGCCACGAAAUUUCUAUUUCGAUGCCACGAAGUGGUACGCAGUAGCACGACUAGGUUGCGCAUAGGUUGAGCAUAGUUCACGAAUUUAUAAUGCGUGCCAAAAUUUUCAACAUGUUGAAAAUUUUGGCACGCACUGCCACGCACCUAUCCGCAAGCUGGCACGCAAAGCUCGCGCAUUGGCCCGCAUGAGUGCGUGCCCAUGCGCAGACUAUGCGGGAACCAGAAUGCGUGCAAGUGUCAACCGGGCAUUAGCUUACACUGCAUGGUUAAGCAUUCAAAAGAUUUUUAUAUACCAGAGUUUGCAUUGAAACUCAUGACAUUGUUAAAGAUCAAUCAUGAGGUGAUCGAUUUAUGAGAUCAUGCCUCAAAUUUGUUUGCACGUUCGUUGAAUAAUCUUGUUUUCGUUGAAGCAGUUAAUGCAUAAUUAUCAGCAUAAGUAGGGUGAUUCCCUACACCAUGUCUGCAUGCAAUUGCUGACCAUCAUUGUCUCAUAAAGUCAGGAUGCUUUAGUUUAGGGGUAAUAAAACAUUAAAGGUCGACAUGUACAAGUAUUGUACGCCUAUUGUUACCGCACAGUUUCUUAUAGUUUGAGUUUGCAUAUUUUUAAGAAAUCUGUUUUAUUUCAAAUUAAAUUUGGCAAUAUAACAUAUAAAAUGCUUCCAAACUGACUGACUGGCAUCUCUGCUUACAACUCUAACCAUUGGUUACAAGUACAAAAUCAUCCUUAUUUCAAUAAAGCAAUACAUCUUGCUCCUGUGAAACAACAUUCAUAGUCCUAGCUCACCUUCCUUUAUAAUAUAGAUACAUGUAUAUGAGCCAAAUUAUGACACAAAACAUGAACCCAUUACUGAAGUAAAUCAUUAUCUCUGUACAUUGCAGUACAUGUCAGUAAAUAUAUUUCAUGCUGCAUAAGCACUGCAGAUUUGUUUAAACAUACAUGCACCAAAUCAACCAAACUCCUUCCUACAUAACCUACCAACUGAAAUUUACUUUCAAAUAACAUCAUACCUGUUUCUAAAGUGUAAUAUUAUGCAAAACACCUAAUUAAAGUACAUAUAAAAUAUUCCCAGUUAGUUUGCACAACCCCAGAGGGCCCAAACUACAUUGAAUGGAAGAAAACUUGAAGUGCACACAAGAGUCAAGGAUGAAUAUUAUACAGAUCGGGCGAUCUUAGCCAGUGAGGAUUGUAAUAACUAUUUAACCAGCAAGCUACUGAAGAGAGCAAGGAAUAAGUUGAAUAUGGAUACAAGAG